Microcebus murinus (gray mouse lemur) is the source of this 3370-nucleotide non-coding RNA. The record is from RefSeq and is a predicted model, not a curated record. Lineage: Eukaryota; Metazoa; Chordata; Mammalia; Primates; Cheirogaleidae.
CUGCUAGCUCCUUAAAGCUGACACUGUCUUGUUCAUCCUGCUCCCUUAAUACCAUCUUUGGGACCUGAAGAAUCUUAGUUUCUUCAUUUGCAAAACAUGGCUGGAAAUCACUCCUCCCGUGUAGAUUAAAUGAAUGUAAAUAAGGCUUUGCGGGCUUUAAGACCUGAAGUAAUUGCAAAGGAUUACACAUACAGAAAUGGGAAAAUGGAAGCUCAGAGGGAACAAGGGUCCAGCAGCUGCAGACAAAGCUCACUUCUGAUGUGUAUUGGCUUAGAGCCACGUGGGAGCCUGGAAUUUCUCUCCGACCAGCAGGAGCAACCAUCUGACAAAGCCCCUCCACCUCUGCACUUUCUAGGGCUCUGGCACCCCGGAAGAGCCCGAAUCUCUCUUUCCUCUUUAGGAGAGAGGCCAACAGUCAUCCUCAUUGUUUAAGGACAUUAGUUAGUACAGGAUCCGUUGUUCCACAAGUAAAAGCAGGAGUGCCCUUUUCCCAAGUAGGGAAUGACACCUUCUCACUUCCUGUGUCCCAGACAGACUGACCCACAGAUUCCCUGACCUGAGAGAUAACCUUUGAGGCCUUCCCGGCUGGCAGGAGGCUGAGGGCAAAGGUUCUCAAAUGCUUUUCAUCUGACCCUUUGGGCCUCUCCCUUGACGUGAGCAGCAAUGUGUGACAUGGUUAAGUGCUGGGACUCUGAGGUCCAGCCUCCUGGAGGCAGAACCUGGAUCCCUCUCUGUCACUUUCUACCUGGGUAUAUUACCCUAAUCACUUACUAUCUUAAAGCUUCUGCUUGCUCAGCUGUAAAAUGGAGAUAAAUAAUGUCUACUCGGCAGGAAUGUUAUAAAUAGUCAGUGUGUGUAAAGUGCACGGUGCAUGUAGCAUUUGGUCAUGCAUUUAUUCUUUGAGCACACCUGCUUAUCUAGUUAGUGUGUGCAGGUUAACGCAGCUGGAUUCCCAGGGGAUCGAGGGCACGUGUUUAAUGAGCAUUUCCUGUGUGCCAGCUGUGGCGCUGGCCACCGUCACACGUGUUAGCCUGUGUGAACAAUCCUGCUCACCCUUCACAGAAGCUCUGUGCAGAGAGGCAUUUCAGAGAUGGGGAAACUGAGGUACAGAGGACUUGAACGGUGUACGCUUUGUGAGGGUGGAGGGCACUUGCUUUGUCAUGUCCCUGCAGUGCCUAGCAAACUCCUGGCGCACGGGUGCUCAGUAACUGGUGAUCGAAUGAACCCCGUAUUCCUGAAGCAGGCCCCAAGGUACCUUUGCCUUCCACCUGCUUUUUCCUCCGUCUCUCUGGUCAACUCUUGCUCAUCUAUCAAGACACAGUUUAAAAGUCCGGCCCCAGCCCCCGACCCCCAGCAAUUUUGCAGAGCCCUCUUCUAAGUAAGCAGUUGUCCAGGCUCUCUUUGGUGAUGGCCACCGUGCUGUGAGCUCCCUAGAAGCAGGGGCCACUCCAGACUCAUUUCUCUCUGAAGCCCCAGCCCUGGCUGGUCACUGACCGCCGCUUGCUGUGAUCUGCAGCCUGCACGAGUGGAUCCAGUCCCGGAAAGGGUGGAGGCAGGUGUCAGCACAGGCUUCUUGCUUCCCCCUUCAGUGUUGCCCACCCUUCCUGUCAGCCCACCCUGCUGGUCUUGCAGGCUGAAACCCAGCGGUGAGAGGGACUGUCCAGGUGACCCUGCUGGCGCGUGUGGCACUCCAUGAUCUGGGGAUAGAGAUAAGCCUCCAUCUCCAGCCUCCCCUCCAAACCCCACGUACCCCAACAGCACUCCAGCCCUACCGAAACACCUUCCCCAAAGUCCAAAGAUGCUAUUCCUCUGCCCCCACUUCAUUCAUACAAAACAUUCCUGUUUAUCCCACAGAAUCCAUCCUAGGGGGCUCUUCUUCCACGAAGCCUGCCUCACGCGGUCUCCCUCUCUCUCCGGCGCUCUCCCUCUGUGGCCUCCUCUUCCCUCAGGCUCUGAUCCCAGCCUUUCUUUGCUUAUGGGACAGGGUCCUCAAGCUCCACGUGGUCCUCAAGUCCGGCGGGGUUGUCCAUCAGCAAGCCUGGUGUGCUUUGCUUGGUAUUCUUCAGAGCGCUGAGCCCUGGUACUCAGCAAACAGGCGACAAAUCAUGCUUGCAGCUGGCCUUGGCUGACAGCAGUGUGUCGUCUGCUGCUAAUCAUAUUUUGAAAAGUUUUAAAGUCACCAACAAUGAGAAUUUUUGAGAUUUUGCAUAAAAUAGUUCCCCCCCUUCAUUUGAAAAUGGAAAGGUUCAGACCCUUAUUUCCACCUGACACUUUCCCUAAAGCUGCAUAGUCACUAUUCCUGUAGGCAGCGUCUGUUCUCAUAAGUGCCAUGGUCCCCAUCCCCACUUACCACACCCACUUCCCUGGCCCUAAGGACAAGCGAGUUUGAGACCCUCGCUCUGAGCUGGAUGAGAGAAAGACAUUCUGGAAGCAAUCAGGAAAGGCAGACGGGAGGGGUCUUGGGUUAGGCACACCCCAUCGUCCUCCACAGGGACUAGCCCACGGGUUAUGGGUGUCUGGCCAGACUGGAUGAGAUAGACAUAAUCUGUUAUUUUAUAAAUGCUUAACAUCAUGUGCUUGCGUUAUCUAAUUUACCCUUCCUGUCAAUCCUAUGAAGCAGAUUGGAUGUUUAAUCCCAUUUUACAGCCGAGGAAACUGAGGUUCAGAGAGGUUAAGCAGCGUGCCCAAGCGGAAACAGCUAGCCGGUGGCAGGGCUGUGAUGGGCCCUAAGUCAUUCUGACUUGGGAAGCCGAGCUGGGUAGUGCCCUGCCCCAGCAUGGUCCCUUAUCACUUCCCUUGCACAGAGUGGCCUUUGCCAACUUCCCCUUCUAAAUCGCUGCCCUAUCACUCUGUUCACUUUCUCCACAGCCCUUCCACAGUUAAAAGUUAACUUAUUUUGCUUGGUUCCGUGUAUUUUUUUUUUAUCCGUUCCUGUCUCCCAGCACUGGGCUCUGAGCCAGGUUCCUUGUCUGUUGGGCUCAUCCCUGGACCCCAAGCUGUUAGCACACUUCAAAGUAGGCAGUUCAGAUUUGUUAAAUGAAUGUAUUUAACCCAGUGCCUGCACUGGGGGGCAGGGGGGGCACAGAGGUAAGAAGGUGGGGACAGGGAAGAGGCUGCUUUGUCCUGUGGCCACCAAAAGGACAUACGCCCUGCAGGUUACCAGCUUCCUCUGGUUUCAAGUUCUUCCACCUUACUCUCCUGAGCACGUAGAGGUGUAUACAAUAGGUGCUCAUUGAGCACUCAGUAUGUCUGUCUUGGCAUGCUGACGUCUUGACAUCAGCAAGGCAAUGCCUCUUAGUGUGGCUGUCUCCUUAUGGACAAGAUCCACGUCGCCCGCCCCUCCGCGUGCCUCUGUGGGCCUCACCGCGGC